This 467-nucleotide ribosomal RNA is filed under the name uncultured bacterium. RNAcentral describes it as "bacterial SSU rRNA". It matches the Rfam family "Bacterial small subunit ribosomal RNA", at positions 331 to 793 of the family's 1533-position model. The record is from RNAcentral.
CCAGACUCCUACGGGAGGCAGCAGUGAGGAAUAUUGGUCAAUGGGCUUACGCCUGAACCAGCCAAGUCGCGUGAGGGAAGACUGCCCUAUGGGUUGUAAACCUCUUUUGUCAGGGAGCAAUUGGCGCUACGUGUAGCGUUAUCGAGAGUACCUGAAGAAAAAGCAUCGGCUAACUCCGUGCCAGCAGCCGCGGUAAUACGGAGGAUGCGAGCGUUAUCCGGAUUUAUUGGGUUUAAAGGGUGCGUAGGCUGUGAGGUAAGUCAGCGGUGAAAUGCCCCCGCUCAACGGGGUGAAGUGCCAUUGAUACUGCCUUGCUGGAAUGCGGAUGCCGUGGGAGGAAUGUGUGGUGUAGCGGUGAAAUGCAUAGAUAUCACGCAGAACUCCGAUUGCGAAGGCAGCAUACCGGCGCCCAACUGACGCUCAUGCACGAAAGCGUGGGUAUCGAACAGGAUUAGAUACCCUCGUAG